Caenorhabditis elegans is the source of this 271-nucleotide non-coding RNA. The record is from Ensembl. NCBI's taxonomy places the organism in Eukaryota, Metazoa, Nematoda, Chromadorea, Rhabditida, Rhabditidae.
CUCAUCUAUGUACUGCUGCUCUUCAGAAUUUUUUUCAAACAAUAACAUCAUUAUUAGAUUGUCAUUAUUAUGAUUCUUAUUAUUACAAAACAGAAGGUAAAUGAGUGCUCUCUGCAUCCUUUUUUCCAUCGCAUCCUAUGUUUGAGCGUAAUUGACUACGGGUCAGUGAGCCGACGGCUCGCGCAACUGGCUAACGAGUGGUCGGUGCCGGAAGCAAGCGCACAAACCUUUAAUUAUAGCUGAGACAAAAAAAAGGAUUCAAAAUUGGGAG